CGGCCGGCGCCUAGCAGCCGGCUUAGAACUGGUGCGGACCAGGGGAAUCCGACUGUUUAAUUAAAACAAAGCAUCGCGAAGGCCCGCGGCGGGUGUUGACGCGAUGUGAUUUCUGCCCAGUGCUCUGAAUGUCAAAGUGAAGAAAUUCAAUGAAGCGCGGGUAAACGGCGGGAGUAACUAUGACUCUCUUAAGGGUCUAGUUACAACUGGGCAUUGCUGCAGAGAUCGCACCUCCUCGUGGUCCCGCUGGUAGCCCUUUGAAGGGUGACUAAGUCGAUCUCUGCCCCAGGUACGGAGCCGUUGGGACUCACCAGCCCAACGUAACUCCUGCCAAAACUCGGUGAAACAAAUUCCUCGGUAAAAAGCCUCAUGGCUUCUUGCCCGAAACCUGGCCCCCCGGUUUCAGCAGGGGCAAUGAGUUCGGAAAGUGGACCGGCCACCCACUCCGUUCUCGCCAUCGAACGUGGUCCCAAUUCGUUGGCAAAAUAUUCCAGAUCAGACUUUGGGGGGGGGGGUCUGGGGCUACCGAUACGCCUGCUCAGGGUGUCGGUCGGCACUCAGACCUCCCGCUCCGACUGGGUAGACCUGGUGUCCUGGAGCCACCCAGGACCCGAGUCCAAAUCCCAGCGGGUUGACCUGGUGUCUCUAUUUCCUAAACACCGGGUUGACCUGGUAUCCAAAAACGACCAGGUAGACCUGGUGGCUCAAAUUUUACCAUCUAAAUUUCCCCCCAAUUUGGCAGAAAACGAAUUGGCUUUGCUGGUGAACUUAGAGUUCUAUAGAUCGGAUCUGCAUGUGCAUGAAUGUAUUCGUUUGUCUGUGGAUUGGGAGGGAUUGAACGGGCUGCCUGAGGUGUAUGAACAGCGUGCACCACAACCGUGUGUGGGAGAAAAUUUACAUUCUAGCCUCCCGCGAGACAGUGAACCGUUUGUGCCUGAAGAGGGGAGCAGCGAGAAGGGGAACGAGGAAGCGCCAAAAACAUCUCCUCCAACGCCUGGGAAGCGCGGGGAACAGACUGGGGAGGACAUCGUGACGGUGACUGUUCCUGACAAAAAUCCACCUUGUCCUUGCUGUGGUACCCGGGUGAACUCUGUGUUGAACCUGAUUGAACAUCUGAAAGUGUCACACGGGAAAAGGGGGGUUUGUUUUCGGUGUGCAAAAUGUGGAAAGGAGAAUAAUAAUUAUCACAGUGUUGUUUGUCAUUUUCCAAAAUGCAGGGGUCCAGAGAUAGAGAAAGCCCCAGCAGGGGAGUGGAUCUGUGAGGUAUGC
This 1269-nucleotide long non-coding RNA is filed under the name Lonchura striata (white-rumped munia). RNAcentral's name for it is "domestica (Bengalese finch) lncRNA (ENSLSDG00000001372.1)". The stretch from base 1 to 240 matches the Rfam family "Eukaryotic large subunit ribosomal RNA", at positions 2086 to 2341 of the family's 3401-position model. Lineage: Eukaryota; Metazoa; Chordata; Aves; Passeriformes; Estrildidae. The record is from RNAcentral.